RNAcentral lists this ribosomal RNA (399 nucleotides) under uncultured bacterium. Its description in RNAcentral is "partial 16S ribosomal RNA". It matches the Rfam family "Bacterial small subunit ribosomal RNA", at positions 338 to 729 of the family's 1533-position model. The record is from RNAcentral.
CCUACGGGCGGCAGCAGUGGGGAAUAUUGCGCAAUGGGCGAAAGCCUGACGCAGCGACGCCGCGUGAGGGAUGAAGGUCUUCGGAUCGUAAACCUCUGUCAGCAGGGAAGUACGGUCACUGUGCUAAUCAGCAGUGAAUUGACGGUACCUGCAAAGGACGCACCGGCUAACUCCGUGCCAGCAGCCGAGGUAAUACGGAGGGUGCGAGCGUUAAUCGGAAUUACUGGGCGUAAAGCGCUCGUAGGCGGUAUGUCAAGUCAAGGGUGAAAUUCCCGGGCUCAACGUUGGAACUGCCGUUGAAACUGGGAGGCUGGAGUAUGUGAGAGGAUAGUGGAAUGCCAGGUGUAGCAGUGAAAUCCGUAGAUAUCAGGAGGAACAUCGGUGGCGAAGGUGACUAUC